GAUAAACGCUGGCGGCGUGCCUAAUACAUGCAAGUCGAGCGAACAGACGAGGAGCUUGCUCCUCUGACGUUAGCGGCGGACGGGGGAGUAAAACGUGGAUAACCUACCUAUAAGACUGGGAUAACUUCGGGAAACCGGAGCUAAUACCGGAUAAUAUAUUGAACCGCAUGGUUCAAUAGUGAAAGACGGUUUUGCUGUCACUUAUAGAUGGAUCCGCGCCGCAUUAGCUAGUUGGUAAGGUAACGGCUUACCAAGGCGACGAUGCGUAACCGACCUGAGAGGGUGGACGGCCACACUGGAACUGAGACACGGUCCAGACUCCUACGGGAGGCAGCAGUAGGGAAUCUUACGCAAUGGGCGAAAGCCUGACGGAGCAACGCCGCGUGAGUGAUGAAGGUCUUCGGAUCGUAAAACUCUGUUAUUAGGGAAGAACAAAUGUGUAAGUAACUAUGCACGUCUUGACGGUACCUAAGCAGAAAGCCACGGCUAACUACGUG
Molecule: ribosomal RNA, 497 nt
Filed under: uncultured bacterium
Lineage: Bacteria
Description: partial 16S ribosomal RNA
Rfam family: Bacterial small subunit ribosomal RNA
Source: RNAcentral